GAUGAACGCUAGCUACAGGCUUAACACAUGCAAGUCGAGGGGCAGCAUUGAGAUAGCUUGCUAUUUCAGAUGGCGACCGGCGCACGGGUGAGUAACGCGUAUCCAACCUUCCCCUUAGUAGAGGAUAGCCCGGCGAAAGUCGGAUUAAUACUCUAUGUUGUAUUUUGAGGACAUCUGACGAAUACCAAAGAUUUAUCGCUAAGGGAUGGGGAUGCGUCUGAUUAGCUUGUUGGCGGGGUAACGGCCCACCAAGGCUACGAUCAGUAGGGGUUCUGAGAGGAAGGUCCCCCACAUUGGUACUGAGACACGGACCAAACUCC
This 320-nucleotide ribosomal RNA is filed under the name uncultured Prevotella sp. RNAcentral's name for it is "bacterial SSU rRNA". It matches the Rfam family "Bacterial small subunit ribosomal RNA", at positions 28 to 339 of the family's 1533-position model. The record is from RNAcentral. Lineage: Bacteria; Pseudomonadati; Bacteroidota; Bacteroidia; Bacteroidales; Prevotellaceae.